CCUACGGGAGGCAGCAGUGGGGAAUAUUGGGCAAUGGAGGAAAGUCUGACCCAGCAACGCCGCGUGAAUGAUGAAGGUCUUCGGAUUGUAAAGUUCUUUUCUAAGGGAAGAAGAAAGUGACGGUACCUUAGGAAUAAGCCUCGGCUAACUAGGUGCCAGCAGCCGCUGUAAUACGUAGGAGGCAAGCGUUAUCCGGAAUGACUGGGAGUAAAGGGUGCGUAGGGGGUUUGACAAGUUGGUAGCGUAACUCCGGGGCUCAACCUCGGCACUACUACCAGAACUGUUGGACUUGAGUGCAGGAGGGGCAGAUGGAAUUCCUAGUGUAGCGGUGGAAUGCGUAGAGAUUAGGAGGAACACCAGUGGCGAAGGCGAUUUGCUGGAAUGUAACUGACGCUGAGGCACGAAAGCGUGGGGAGCAAACAGGAUUAGAUACCACUGUAGUC
This 443-nucleotide ribosomal RNA is filed under the name uncultured bacterium. Its description in RNAcentral is "partial 16S ribosomal RNA". It matches the Rfam family "Bacterial small subunit ribosomal RNA", at positions 338 to 795 of the family's 1533-position model. The record is from RNAcentral.